AGCUUCGGAAAAUGGCUGCCCGGCUGGACGCCGCCGCGCUUGGGCUUUCAGUUCGGAGUCGCGGCCACACUAGGCCUAGGGCCAUCCAAUGAGACAAGGCGCUGCCACGGAUAACAAUACAUGCUCAGGCGAAUGCUGUAGAGCUGAGGCCCGGUCCUCAGCCCCUGCUCGCCUCAUUUUCGCCUGUUUACCUCUUCCCUUUCUCGGCCGCAGGAGGAAACGAAAGAACAGUUUCAGGCCCAGCUCCGGCCGCGGGAGCUUCCCAGGGUUCCCGCGCGAGCCCUCCCAAAGGGUUCAGGAGCGGCAGGCAGGCCUCAUCUGGUUGUGUGCUU
Molecule: long non-coding RNA, 332 nt
Filed under: Homo sapiens (human)
Lineage: Eukaryota; Metazoa; Chordata; Mammalia; Primates; Hominidae
Description: non-protein coding lnc-DOCK7-8:2
Source: RNAcentral